GGUGGCUCAGUGGUAGAGUGCUUGCCUUGCAUGCAUGUGGCCUUGGGUUUGACUCCUCAGCACCA
This is a non-coding RNA of Dipodomys ordii (Ord's kangaroo rat), 65 nucleotides long. The record is from Rfam. Lineage: Eukaryota; Metazoa; Chordata; Mammalia; Rodentia; Heteromyidae.